UGCCCCGCACUGCUGGGCAAUCUGGGUGUGUCCCGAGGUUCCUGGAAAGUUGGCUCAUUUCCUCCUUGGUGAGGUCAGUUUCAGUUUAAGCUGCUUUGCAUAAAAAAACAAAAAUCCUCUUUCCUCUUGACCGGAAAACAUAGAGCCUGAGGUGGCAUUGAGUAAGGAUGGGGCAGUGAGAAGACUCGGGUUUUCCUCUUGUUCUUCAGGACUGGGGUGGGGGGAGUCACUCAACCAGGCAAGGUGUGCCUGGAAUCUUGCUAAGCAAACUCUGGAACAUGGUCCGUAAUCGUUGGUGGAUUAAUGGGCAAACCUCUUCCUCAAACCUUGUCUGAUUCCUGCGCGGGUCCUCCUCCCUGCACUGCCAUAGUCCUGUGGCCCUUUUCUUCAGAAACCCUAUCGCAGUGUCAUUGUAUGUGGAUUUGGGAAAUUAAUUUCUUCCCCCCCUCCUUCCAUGAGGAGCUGGGUGUUUCGCUUGCCGUGGACUCACUAGCAGCUGGCGUGUGCCUGGCACACAGCAGGCGCUCGUCAUAUAUAUUCAUUCAGUAAAUGAAUACUUAAAAUGCCCAAGAUUAAGUAUGCCAAAGGUCAAUUAUGGCAUGAGUCUUUGCAAAAAGAUUCGUCACUGGGCUUCAUCAUUCUGAAAACAUUUGAGAAGCACCUGCCGCAUGCCCUGUCCUGCGCUAGGUAACACGGGGAGGGCCUAUACAAGGGUGAAGAAAACAGGAUCUCUACCCAUAAGAGUAAGGGCAGGCUGGGGGUGAGACCCAUCUUGUGCUGUGGCUGCUCUCGUGCCUUCCUCUUUUGUUCUCCUGUAAACAAAGCUGUUUCCCCUAUGGCCGUGGUGGGGUGAAGCCAUGAGGCACAUCCUAGCCCCCGAGAUUAGAAGACCAGACUCUCAGAGAUGGCUUCUCACGGUCGGGCAGAAGUGAAUCAUGUCUUGGAACUAGAGAGGCAGGAAGUCCGGCAUCAGGAGAGAUCUCGGAGAUGGUCUGAGUCUGUUGUCCCUGGACCCUCCAGAUCUUGGCUCCUUCAUACUGAAAGCUGGGUGGCGGCCAGCCUGGAGAACUCAUGCCCCCCCGCCCCCGCAUGGAAACCACGGAAUUUCCCCAGUAAGUUGUCUUUGGCAACUCCAGUGCUACAGGAAGGUCAGAACUGGUGAUACACGGAGUGAAGGCCAGGGAGGAAGUGCCAGGCCCGCCUACAUCGUCUGGGGCCCCUCCCACGGGGACAAGAAAGCUCCGUGUCUGGACGAACAGGACCCUGACCCAACCAGGAGCAUUUCGGUUGCAGGUUACUUUCAGAGGGUAUUUCCAGGAUUUGGCUUGGUGCUCCCCUGCCUGAGGACAGCCUCAUCCCUGCUUUUCUGCCUUCUGGUUGAAUUUGAGGUGAGGUGGAAGGAAUGGCCAGCAGUGAAUACUUGCACUUCCUGACAGGUAUUGUUCCUGAAGGUACACUCCAAUAAGCCUCCUGGAUGCAGAUCUCUGCCUCAAAAUCUAUUUCCUAUGUAGUCCCACCUAGGAAAGUUGGUGCCCAAGCUGUCCUAGCAAUGAAGCCCGCUGGCCGGCCAGCAAUGAGGAUCCCAUCAUUGGCAGUAGGUGGACUUCGGAUAGCGCUGGCAUGCUGCAGCUGUGCAGUUAUUCGAACUUUCACUGGUAGCGAACUGGGAUAGGGCUCCGGUGGAAGGGACACAAGGCAUAAGAACUCAGUUCUUUGAGAUGUUUGGGAGAAGUGGUACUUAAAAGGACUAUGGAAUUAAAUGGUGCUUCUGUCUGCUACUGAAGGAUUGGAGAAAAAAAAACCCCAAUGAAAUACUGAGGGCAAUUAACUUCCAAUUCAAGAUGAAAUGUGAAAGCCAGAGGACCUUCUUGGCAGCCUGUAAGCAGACUCUCAAAUCCCGCAGCCAGAUGGAAGCAAAAGUUGAAGAUUGGUUCCAGGACUUUAUAAAUAGUAGCAAAACUCCAUAGAAGAGUGGAGCCAUGCCAAGUCUGUUACACCAAGGUUAGGGUCACGAAUGGGAAGGAGUGGAACCCUGAAACUUGAGAUGGGAAUAUCUCAUCUGGGUUGAUGAACUUGAACAUCUGGAAUCCUCGGAUUCCUCUGGGCCUGAGGAAGGAAAUUUUUCCUUCCUGUGAAAGGCCGCUUACCCUCCUCUACUUGAAGAUGAUGUAUAGACCUUUACCUUAUUAGACAACAUGAACUUGCUCCCCAUAAUCAACCCCCAUCUUGCCUUCUGGCCAUCAGACUAAUGACUAGGGUCAAGUAACAAUAUAGCCUAGCACUUUCCAUAGCUGCUCAGGGAGGAAGUGGACUGUAUGCCAAGGACCUGCAGAAUCUAGCCAACAUGUAUUGGCAGGAGCUGGGAGAAUAUAUAUGGGACAGGAUGCUAAGGACGUUAAAUUAACGAGGGUGAGAUAAAAUGUUGGAUAAAGAAGAAUUUAUGGUUAUGAGAGCCUUCUCCGUAACAGGAUUUAACAUUCUGGGGAAUAGUGUUAAUUUGCUGCAGGAAUGGUUUUUGAGGAAGCUUUGAAAAAGUGAAAUAGAAAAUUCAGACUGCUUUGGGAGACAGUAAAGGAUUAAAAGUCUCAGAGACAUGUGUAUUCUAUAGUGGAUAUAUAAGUCUGAAAAAUCCACUUGCUGACUAUGUUCUGCAGAGGAAUCCAUUUUCUAAAGUGAUAAGGAAUGUGCUCGUAAGAGCGGCACCAGAAUCAUUGAGAAACUCCGUGGUGACCAUCUUUUGCAGGCCAGGGCUUCAGCAGUAAGCUUUGUCUUUGUAAGUCUUCACUACCUGGGGGCGCCUGGGUGGCGCCUUCUUUAAGCGUCUGCCUUCGGCUCAGGGCAUGAUCCCAGCGUUCUGGGAUCGAGCCCCACAUCAGGCUCCUCCGCUAUGAGCCUGCUUCUUCCUCUCCCACUCCCCCUGCUUGUGUUCCCUCUCUCCCUGGCUUGUCUCUGUCAAAUAAAUAAAUAAAUAAAUAUCUUUAAAAAAAAAAAAAAGUCUUCACUACCUGAUAGCCAUGGGGAUGAUAGGAUCCGAAAGUAACAGAGGCCAGGUGGUAGGACUAAAAUCGUCAGAAGCAAAGUGGGCACAAUUAUCAUGAAGUAAAGGGCGGAGUGGCGCUCAGAGGAGUCUAACACAUAGCGAGUUAUGGAGAUGUUUAAGAGAUGCGUGUCUAGGGGACAAGGUAAAUGGACAACCAGUAGGAAUUUUGAGUAUUGCUCAAUCUGUAAAAUAAGAAAUCAAGAAUGGAUGAUCAGAAGGCUGAGACCAGCCGCCCCCAAAAAGUCAUGAUUCUUUGCCCAGUUCCUAUACCAGAGUCCGUUUUCAGAUCAGAGCUCAGUGGGUGAAGCCAGUGGAAGUCCUUGCCAGAGAAGAUUAAUAGGGUCUCAGGUACAGACUGUUGAUAUUAUGAAUGCAUUCUUUUCCAUUCUGGCAAGAAAAAAAAAUAAGCCUUUUGCAUUCUUGUGAGAUGGACACAGCUGUACACCUUUCUGUUGUUGUCCCAGGGCCAUGUUAACUUUUCAUCCUCUGUCAUAGUACAAAGGGACCUGGACCACCUGGAGAUGCAGACUAUCACAUGGUCUCUUAUAUUUGUGGAUGACCUCAUUAGGCUGGAUGAGCCAGAAGGCACAAAUAUCUCGGUGAACUUGGAAAGACACCUGUGCUCCAGUCAGUUAGAGAGAAACCCUAUGAAGAGUCAGUGGCCUACAACAUCAGUGAAGUUUUUAGAGAUCUGGUGGUCUAGGCAUGUCAGGACAUUUCCUUCUAAAGUAAAGGACAAAUUAUUGUGAUGAUAUUAGGUAGAAGCUAGACAUGAGUAGUGAAAGGAACGCCCUGAGGGAGAGUCCCAAGUCCUUGAAGGGGAAUGAUAGCGACAGGACCUGGAAGCAAGGACGGUGAUUAAAAAAAAAAAAAAAAA
Ailuropoda melanoleuca (giant panda) is the source of this 3917-nucleotide long non-coding RNA. RefSeq lists it as uncharacterized. The record is from RefSeq and is a predicted model, not a curated record. The transcript has 4 exons. NCBI's taxonomy places the organism in Eukaryota, Metazoa, Chordata, Mammalia, Carnivora, Ursidae.